Lycium barbarum (goji berry) is the source of this 1663-nucleotide RNA transcript. RefSeq lists it as uncharacterized. The record is from RefSeq and is a predicted model, not a curated record. The transcript is spliced from 7 exons. NCBI's taxonomy places the organism in Eukaryota, Viridiplantae, Streptophyta, Magnoliopsida, Solanales, Solanaceae.
AGGGAAGGGACAGGAGAAAACACCUAGAUCUUUGUGCUCCUCUUUAGAAGUUUCUUAAAAUGAGGUGGAAUCUCUCCACAAGAGUGCUAUUGAUGCUAAUCAAAGUAUGCAAACUCCUAAAACCACAAGAUCAAAUUAUGCCAUGUCUUCUAGUCAAGGAAUGCGAACAAUGGAUAAAAAACCCUUGAUUCUUGAGAAAGAGCAUAUGCAAACCAAUAUUUCAUUGCCACCAUCUACUGAUCAAGUUAUGCAACACUCCCAAUCAGUUGAAACAGGUAUGAUAUUUUGAAUCCAUGUGUUAUUAAUUUGAAGAACCAAAUUUUAUUGCUGUAGUUUUAACCAAAUUAUGCAAAUGUAGGUUCAUCUAAUCCUAGAAAGGUAAAAAGAGUUCGGGGUAGGAACAAGUGUAAAGAAGUUGCAUCACUUGAAGUUGGACAAAAGCUUAAAGUAACUUUUUACAAUAAUCGAAUUGUUGGAACAAAUAGCAACUUGUUUUCGAGGCACUUGGGAAGAAUAAUUCGUGAUCGUAAUAUGUGUCCGUUGGGAGUUCCAUCGUGGAAUGAUAUUAAGCAAGAAAAAUUGAAUCACAUGUGGGCAGCUGUUGAGGAUAAAUUUGAGAGUGCUGACAUGAAUGAUCAUCGUGAUCAUGUCUUGGAAUGAAUGAAAGAGUUAUGGAACAAAUGGAGAGGAUACUUGCAUGCACAAUAUGUGAAAAAUAAUCCAAUCCAACAGGCUCUUAAGAAUAUGCCAAAGGGAGUAGACAAGAAAGAAUGGGAGUGGUUAGUAAAAGAACAUUUUACUUCAGAAAGUUUUCAGGCGAGAUGCAACAGGAAUGCAGCAAAUCGAGCUAAGUUGAAGAUGCCUCAUCAUAUUGGUAGCAAGCCUAUUCGAGAGAUUAUUUAUCAAAAGGGCGGGAAAUAUGACAAUCCACCAGAUUUGGGGACUGUUUUCUUCGAGACUCGUAAGAAAGAUAACAAGCUUGUUGAACCUGAAGCAGUUGAAAAACAUGCUCAGAUCGAAGAAAUGGUACAAUCGGAGCCAUCUCUAUCUAGCAUAGAGAUUGUCGAAAAAUCUUGUGGACCUCAAACUCGUAGCCAUGUAUUUGGCUUUGGGGUUGGAGUAAAGGCGAAAGACUUGAAAGGUGGAACCUCUUCAAAGGCUGAAUUGUUGUCUGCGCUACGUUCGACUCAAGAAGAAGAAAAUUCCUUGAAUGAGAAAAAUAAAUCCUUGAAUGAUCGCUUGUCUGCAUUAGAAGAUGAGAUGAAAGAAAUUAAGAAAAUAAAAGAAUUCUUUGCCGCUCAACAAUCAUAUGUCCCGCCUACGACAUCGCCCGUUUCAACUGAAUGACCACUGUUUUUGUCUGCUAACCAACCUCGAUGAUUUUGCUGGAUAACACCUAAUGAAUUUAUUAGAUUGCUUUUGGGGUUUUGAAGAUUGAAUUUGACAAGUCAAGAUGGAAGUUUAGAAGAUGCACAAGCUCAUUAUUUUGCUAGGAAUGUUAUGCACUCGCUAUCGUAGUCUAGCUCGAGUGUUAGCAAUGCUUUUUUGUUAAGGUGUCGAGCAAAUAUUGAAACUAACAUCAUGGGUGUUAAAAAUUUUACUGUAAUUAAUAACUCUAUCUUUCUCUUUAUAUAUAUAACGCUUUUGUAUCUAGAUGUUUUAG